RNAcentral lists this ribosomal RNA (318 nucleotides) under Chaetoceros dichaeta. RNAcentral describes it as "partial Eukaryotic large subunit ribosomal RNA". Lineage: Eukaryota; Bacillariophyta; Thalassiosirophyceae; Chaetocerotales; Chaetocerotaceae. The record is from RNAcentral.
GAAAGAGGAGAGAUUUUAAAUAAGUUGUUAAAUCUUUAAUUAUAAAUUAUAAUUCAGCAAGCGCAUAAUGUGAUAUGAAUGGCUGCUAAUUUCAGAUUUGGCGCUCAGAUAAUCCAUUACAAGCUGAUAUUGUAUCUAUAACCUUUCAUGUACAUUAAACUAAAACAAUAAAAUGGAUAUAAACUCUUUUCUUAUCAAUAGAUUCCUUUCGUUUUGGAGAAGUCACUUUUCGUCAAAACUUCUUCUUUGAUUGAGCUUUUGGAAUCCACGCACAUGUCUGAAGCCAACUGUCUUGAAACAUUGACCACGUAGUAUUCU